UACGUAGGGGGCAAGCGUUGUCCGGAAUCAUUGGGCGUAAAGAGCGUGUAGGCGGCUUGGCAAGUCUGACGUGAAAUCCUGCGGCUUAACCGCAGACUGUCGUUGGAAACUGCCUCGCUAGAGUCCGGAAGAGGAGAGUGGAAUUCCUGGUGUAGCGGUGGAAUGCGCAGAUAUCAGGAAGAACACCCGUGGCGAAGGCGGCUCUCUGGGACGGUACUGACGCUGAGACGCGAAAGCGUGGGGAGCGAACAGG
RNAcentral lists this ribosomal RNA (253 nucleotides) under uncultured bacterium. RNAcentral's name for it is "partial 16S ribosomal RNA". It matches the Rfam family "Bacterial small subunit ribosomal RNA", at positions 524 to 776 of the family's 1533-position model. The record is from RNAcentral.